Molecule: long non-coding RNA, 1304 nt
Organism: Triticum aestivum (bread wheat)
Lineage: Eukaryota; Viridiplantae; Streptophyta; Magnoliopsida; Poales; Poaceae
Exons: 3
Source: RefSeq, a predicted model, not a curated record
UCUAACUUAAUAACAAUGGAGAUGAACAUGAAGAGCCACAAAGUAUAACACUAAUUUCAAUCUCAACAAUGCAUAACGUUUUGAUCUUAAAGAAAGAACUAGCUUAAAGAUAAGGCACAGAUGCUUGCAGAUCUGAAUAUUUGACAAAGAGAUAGGAAUUCAAGACAUUUCUCAAGAUGUUCAGUUAUAAAAUAGUUCCAGCUACAAUAACGAUCUGAUUACAAAUCCAUGUGUAACGCCACUGUUUUAUGCUACAUUUGUUAUUCAGGUCCAGUAGCCAGUGGUUCUUUGCGUAAUUGUUCAAAAGGACAUUUUGAGGUGCUUGUCCAGAUGUGAUUAUUUCUCUUCAGUAACAGUUUUGUAGGAGUUUGGAGUACUCUGAGCACCUACCUGUAGCGUGCCAUCAAAACCACAUGCACAACAGGAGUUUUGCAUGGCAUGAGUAAUCUUCCUCUCCUUCCUCCCUCACAGUCUCUAACCGCCCUCUCCCUCUAGAUCCAAAUUUAGCUCUUACGUGUAAGAGUUUGCAUCAUGAAUGAAAGCAGAGCUGAUUCUCAUUUCAGUACUAGGUGGGUAGGGAUUAAUCCGUCAAAACGAAUGAUUAUAGUUAGGAAACCUGUCAAUAUGGUUAUAUGUAUUAGUAAUAAGAUUUUCAAUUAAUCCAAACAAGAAAAGCAUGUGAUUUUUUCUAUUUAGUAUUUAGUAUUUCUGGAAAACUAUACGCGAUCUUGCUAAUUUCAUACUACUAGAUUACAGUCGUACAUGCUCUUGCUUGUCUACAAAAUUUCAUUCUUGCAUCUAACCCUGAUUAAAGAAAUGCUUGAAUAGCAGGAUGGCAUUGGGUUGUCAUGUUUUACUGUCAUUUGCCUGUAGUACUCUAUUGACUCAGGUGCUUUGCUAUUAUAAUGUUGUCAUUUACGUUUAGUAAUAUGUUGACUCACAUGGCACACUAUGUGACUGUAUGUGGUUAUAUGUGUGGUGUGAAGAUGGUCAUUCUUCAAUUUGAAAGUAAACAAGCGGCCUCCAUUGAGGUCUACCGACAAUCAUGUAGGCAAUGCGUAGUCUUAACUCUUAACGUGAGGGGGCGCCGAGAUACACGAGGGGUUGGAGUAGGACUACAGGAGGAGGUGAGGACAUGUUUUAUUUAAGAUCCACCUGAUUAGUCCCAGGUUUUUGCAAGGUCUGUUUCUUAUGCAGAGAUUUCUUUUGAUGGGCAGCCUAGCCAAUAAAUUAUGGUUACUCCUUUUAGUUAGAUUUAGUACUAGGUGAAUUAUUUGCUUCUGUGUCGAUGAACAAAUGAGUCU